UGGAUUUGGAGUUGGUGAACGAACAGGACGCCAUUGUAGAGAUUGUAAUAAAAGAUAUUUGCCUUCCUUCGCAAAAUCUACUUCUUUUUCAUUGUUAUCGUUAAUAAUUCGAGCAGCCUCAUUUGAUGUGAUGCUAAUUAGGACUAUAAAAAGUAGCAUUUGAGAUUUCAUAUUUGAUUUUUAUGGAAUAUUGAGAGUACUAUGAAAUGUAUGUUUUGUUUCGAA
Molecule: long non-coding RNA, 225 nt
Filed under: Solanum tuberosum (potato)
Lineage: Eukaryota; Viridiplantae; Streptophyta; Magnoliopsida; Solanales; Solanaceae
Description: long non-coding RNA (STUB_LNC009281)
Source: RNAcentral